GACGAACGCUAGCGGCGUGCUUAACACAUGCAAGUCGAACGGAAAGGCCUGCUUUCCCUUGUGGAUUGCGGGUACUCGAGUGGCGAACGGGUGAGUAACACGUGAUUGAUCUUCCCCCAACUUGGGUCUAAGCCUGGGAAACUGGGUCUAAUUCCCGAUAGGACUGCAGGGUGGUGCCUGUGGUGGAAACCGAUUUUCUAGUGGUUGGGGAUGAGCUCGCGGCCUAUCAGCUUGUUGGUGGGGUACUGGUCUACCAAGGCGGCGAAGGGUAGCCGGCCUGGGAGGGUGGACGGCGAGAGUGGGACUGAGACACGGCCCAGACUGCUAGGGGCGGCAGCAGAGGGGGAUAUUGGAGAGUGGGCGGAAGCCUGAUGCAGCGACGCCGUGUAGGGGACGACCGGGUUCGAGUUGUCAACUCCUGGCGACCGAGAGGAAGACACUUGGUUGGAAGGGUGGUGACGGUAGUGGUAGAAGAAGCACCGGCUAACUACGUG
RNAcentral lists this ribosomal RNA (494 nucleotides) under uncultured bacterium. RNAcentral describes it as "partial 16S ribosomal RNA". It matches the Rfam family "Bacterial small subunit ribosomal RNA", at positions 28 to 507 of the family's 1533-position model. The record is from RNAcentral.